GAAGCGGCAACAGCUCAAAUUUGAAAUCUGGCCCUUUCGGGGCCCGAGUUGUAAUUUGUAGAGAGUGUUUCGGGUGAGACCAUGGUCUAAGUUCAUUGGAACAUGGCGUCAUAGAGGGUGAGAAUCCCGUAUGUGACUGUGGAUCGAGCCCAUGUGAAGCCUCUUCGACGAGUCGAGUUGUUUGGGAAUGCAGCUCAAAAUGGGUGGUAAAUUUCAUCUAAAGCUAAAUACUGGCUGAAGACCGAUAGCGCACAAGUAGAGUGAUCGAAAGAUGAAAAGCACUUUGGAAAGAGAGUCAAACAGUACGUGAAAUUGUUGAAAGGGAAGCGCUUGCAACUAGACCUGUCCGUAGGUGAUCAGCCGCUGUUCUCAGUGGUGCACUCGCUCUGCGAUCAGGCCAGCAUCGGUUCGGGCGGUCGGAUAAAGGACUUGGGAAUGUAGCUUCCUUCCGGCAGUCUUAUAACCCUCCCUGCCAUGCGGCCAGCCGGGACCGAAGACCGCGC
Molecule: ribosomal RNA, 503 nt
Filed under: Hypogymnia lugubris var. sublugubris
Lineage: Eukaryota; Fungi; Ascomycota; Lecanoromycetes; Lecanorales; Parmeliaceae
Description: partial large subunit ribosomal RNA
Rfam family: Eukaryotic large subunit ribosomal RNA
Source: RNAcentral